ACGAGCAAGUAGGGAAGGAUUUGGUUAUCAAAGCAGAGGACUUAGAUUCAAAAGUAAUCGACAGAAGGAGAUUACUUCAGCUCAUAGUCCAGACAAGGGCUCUAUCUCAAUAAAUUAGGCCACCCUCUCCUACAAACACAAGCAUCUCCAUGUGUGUUACCAGGUUCAUCCAGGGACAAGGAGACGAUGCCAUUACUUUGCUGCCAACCUGGCCAAACAGCAGGUUUGCUAAAGCCCAGCUUUCAAGAAUAUUAAUAAAAAUAAACAAUUUUACCCUUUCUGGUCUUGCUUAUAGCAGGCUGCUAAUAAUGCCUUAUGAAGCUGCUACACAGUUCAAUCAAUAGUUUGAUUUUUCUGCCCUAGUGCUGCCACAAACACAAACCGCACGCUAAACCGGCUAAGCAAGGAGCUGGCCACAGAGACAGCUGGAGCCAGAGAAGGGGAGAUGCAGGACGUGGUGCCUUGUGACUUCUAGGAAACUUGGGCACGGACUGCUCCUGCCGAGCCCCAUCCGCCAUGGCCACUGCCGCAUCCUGCUGCACCCAUGGAUCCACCUCAGUGCCCGAGUCAGAGUUCCUAAUGCACUGGAAGUUCUGCUUCAAAAUGAACAUAUUUGCCACUAACUUUUCUACAAAUACCUGGAUGCAUUGCUUGGACACAGGUAAGCUUGGCCAAGUUCAUCAUUAUUCUCUCCCUGAGACCAGGAUGUCCAACAAAGGCAUUCCAGCUGCCAGGUGUCACAUCAGCCACCCUAUGACUUGUGACGAGUUUGAGCGCAGUAACACCUCCGGAACAGGUACCUUCAUUGCAAAGGCAGAGUUGAGACAUUCCCUAAACCUCAUCUGGAUACAAAUCUUCAGAGAGUGCAGGUAACAGAGUGGUUUGAUGAUCAGCUGGUGUUUCUGGAGCAUGAUUUUCCCUUGAAGCCUGGGUGAGUAGUGAAUAUGAAUUACCAAUGGUCUUUUUUUUUCCCCUCAUAAUAUAUUAAAGAAAAUUUAUAUAUAUUAUAGAAAAUUUAUAUAAAUUAUUAUUAUUAUUUAACUAUUUUAUCACUUUAGAGACUGCCAACUGAUAGCUUUCAGCUAUGCAAGGCUCAGGCAGGUUAGACCUAGGGAAGCAGAAAAUCACUUGAUGCUCAUAUCAAGGUUGUACAGACCUUUCGUCUGUCACUGCCUUUGUUUGCUUUUUUUGUUUUUAUGCAACUAGGUAACGUAGCUGGGCCCAGCUCCAUGCCUGUUGUCUUGGGCAUGACUGCACUGCAACCAGAAAAUCAUUACAGCCAGAAAAUCAGCUCUCGGUGCAUGCAAGUUUCUGCUGUCUGUUUGAAAGAGAGUUGAAGCACUUGUGGAGGUUUAAUCGAAAUCUGAAUACAUGUGACUGAAAUUGGCUCUCCGUGAUUAUUUAUACAAGUAAAUCUCUGCUUCUCACAAAUUCCCAGAAAUCAAAUGCCAGCCUUGUAUGAUCAUUUUUUAAAGGAGUAAAUAUUUGUUGAAAAAUCCUUUGCUGUAUUAAUUUUACUCUGCCGUCUCUCAGGCAGCCCUGAUAGGGAUGGAGAGACUCUGGUGUGCAUCAAUCAGCCUACGGAAGAGGGACAAAAAUAGCUCAUUACUUGGUCCAUAAAGAGUUAUCCUCAGCAUGAAAUGCAAACUUUUCAGGUAGCCAGGCAAAGCUCCUAAAAUAGCUUGUUUUCCCCAUAUGUCUGCAUACCCAGCUAAAAUCUUCCAGGAAAUGAUCCCUAUUUCAACACUAGGUACAUCAGGUACAGGUAUUUUAAGCAGGAGGUAGUUUAAGCAGAGUGCUGCAUAUUUCCAUGUUUUCCUAACCCCCACUUGAAAGCACAUUUGCCAGUAAGUGGUUUGUAAGUUUACAGUCAGCCAUCACUACUUUUUCAGUGCUGUGUAAUGUUGUCAGUCCCUGUUGCUGACCUUUUUUUUUUUUUUCCUUUACUUUCUCUCUUUCUCUUUUUUUUUUUGGCUUUUUUUUUUUUUUUGGUAACCCUUUUACCUUCUUUUUCCCUGCUCAGACCCAUUAGCAGGAUGUUGUGCAAUAUGGUGCUUGUCAUCUGUUUCAAAGACACAGUGAUGAGAUACAGGUAUGCCAGAUGGAUAAACCUAGUGUGACUAAUUAUUGUGUAUUUGCCUUUAAUUAUUAUCAUUUAUUACUAGAGAAAAGACAAUAGAGGUUCCCAGACUCGGAAGGGAAUGUCGGCAGAAGGGGAAUUUUUUUCCCUUUACUUUUUUUUUUUCAAGAGACUGGCACAUCAGCAAGAAAAGUUUUCUUCCUGGGGAAAAAUACAAGCAAACAUCAAGACCAGAGGAAUCAACAUGACCCAUGCAAUACUCUCCUUUCCCUGACACAUACUUGAGGAUCAGAUAUCUCACAGGUGGGCGGUUCUCUUCCCUGGACACCUUCCUGUCUCCCUCUCCUGAUGCCUUGUGUUCACAGAAGAUAGCUCACUACUGCGGCCCCUUUUCCAAAAACAGUCUUGAGAAGGAGAGACGGAUUCAGCUGUCCUCACAGACCUGUUUUACAGCUCUUCUGCCUUCCACUUCAGUAUCCAUUGCCUUUUGGUUAUGCACAAAAAAAGGCCAAAAUACAUCACAAAACACAUUAUUUUUCCAAAUAGUGGCUACACAAAGUGGCCUUGUACGUCUUAUAUGGUGCAUGGAGGUAUUCCAUAUUCCAUGUUUUUUUGCUUUAUGCUGGCUUCAGUGAUGCCAGCUAGGUUCCUAACUGGCUUUUACUGUAGAAGCAAUGCCUCAGGGAAGCCUUGCCCUUUUCAUGUGUGACAUUAGCAAAAUUGGUGUCUUUGAAAUGGUCGUUUGCAAUCAUGCAAAGCUGCUCCAUUCCUCCUACAAAUGUCCUUCUUCCUUUCCACCACUCAUUUCCUCACCAGCUCCUCCUAAUUAUGGGACAAACUUUUCUCCAUUUUUCUCUGAUAUCAGUUUACUUCUCAACAUUCUCAGAGUUCCUGAGUAUGUUUAUGUUCCUUGUGACUUGCAGUGGCCUUGUGUUGAUGUUGCUUCAGGUAGAUAAGCAGUGGAGAGAAAAUAAAUGGGUUGAGGAACUCUGGGAACAAUAGUGGGAUUUGUAAGAGGGGGGACAGGCAACAAAGGACAAGAAUGGGGGAAGGGGAGUUGUUUGGUCCUUAAAAACCUUUGGUCGUCACUCCCAUACUAAUGGAAUGUGACCAUUAGAGAACUUUCUUUUCUUCAGAUUCACACUGAACACUGUAAAAUACUCAUUCAUAUACAGAUACUGCCAGCUUAUUCUUCUCCAGGUAGUUUAAAAAAUGUCUCAUGAUUACAAACAUAUGAUCCAGAACUGAUAGCAUGUAAUACAAGCUCUGUUGUCGGAGAGGAUGCCCAGAUCUCUGGAAUUUUAAGAACUAGAACAAAUUCCACCAUGUUGUGGAUCAAAUAAUGAAAAAGUCAUCUGUUCAAAGAGCAGCGGAUACAGGAUUACUUACAGAUUUUAUACAUCUAGAUUUGGCUAGUUACAAUCAUAUAGACAUCUCCCAACAAGGUCUUUGUCCCCUGCUCACCAAAAGGGCCAAUAGUAAGAACUAUAUUAUAACGCAAAAGGUCUUUUCCUAGGAUGGGGCUGAGCAUUGAAUAUCAACAAAUUUUACCAACGAUAGAGCUUAUUUUCCAGGUAUCUGUCAGUGUAUUAUUCAUCCACAUGAACAGCACGAGCUUCUGAACCCACAGGAUUCUGUGAACAAGGUUGUAAUGGAGGACUGCACUCCUGUGUGCGGCGGGGCUGCUCUCAGAGAUGAGCUUUGGCUGCGUACCCGAGUCUGGGUUGUCACAUAAACCAAUUAUUAGAUGGAGGGAUAUGUAGAUAAGUAAAUAAUCAUCUUAACGUUAUCAGCAACUGCCAGGUUAGGAGAGGUAACACAUCAGUAUGAGACGUGACUAAAUGCAACUGUCUGGUACCCUCCCAAGACACAUAGCAAACACCAUCCUUUCCUUGGUGGCAGAAAGCACCCAGGCUCAUAACUAAAGAAUGAACUUUUCAAAGAGAUUGGGUUGUCUUUCCAAGUUACCUUUAUUUUCAGUUACUCCUCAUUAGUCGCCUUCCUUUUUUGUGUCUACUUUUCUCGACACAUCUUGCAGUUUCUUGCUGCUUCAUCCUUUCUGUUUUCCUCGCCAUCUAACCUUAGAGCAUUCCUCUCUUUCUUUCUCUCUGAAAAUCUGCGUGCUGGUAUUUUCCAUGAAUCCAUCUGCAUUGAAUUAUUUAUAGAUACAAUAAAGUCUGCUUUUGUCUAAUGUUUAUUUUCUUUAAUAACAAGAAACAUGGGGAAAAUGUUCCAAAGAACCAAAAAAGGACUUGACUUUUCCUGGACGCUAGGCAACAGUAGCCAAAAAGUACAAAACAAGCCGUAGGAUGUUCGUAAGAUGCCUUCUAAAAAUAAUAAUCUUAGUAUGUUGGUAUCUAAUGCGCUUUUUGCAUUUGUUGUAUUUCCCAAAUCUAGGCCUUGGUUAUAAUGCUGUCGUGUCCUCCUAAAGGCUCUAAUGGACAAUGAGUUACUGUGGAGGCAAUCAGGAACAAUAAGCAGACGGAUUACUGCUGGUGGAUCUCUGGCCACAUCUCUGCUACCUGUUUUCUUUGUCCUAAGUGUUUUAAAUAGGUCAUGGAGGUC
This is a non-coding RNA of Phalacrocorax carbo (great cormorant), 4645 nucleotides long. Lineage: Eukaryota; Metazoa; Chordata; Aves; Suliformes; Phalacrocoracidae. The record is from RefSeq and is a predicted model, not a curated record.